Molecule: ribosomal RNA, 253 nt
Filed under: uncultured bacterium
Lineage: Bacteria
Description: partial 16S ribosomal RNA
Rfam family: Bacterial small subunit ribosomal RNA
Source: RNAcentral
UACAGAGGGGGCCAGCGUUAUUCGGAAUUACUGGGCGUAAAGGGCUCGUAGGCGGCCAACUAAGUCAGACGUGAAAUCCCUCGGCUUAACCGGGGAACUGCAUCUGAUACUGGAUGGCUUGAGUUCGGGAGAGGGAUGCGGAAUUCCAGGUGUAGCGGUGAAAUGCGUAGAUAUCUGGAGGAACACCGGUGGCGAAGGCGGCAUCCUGGACCGACACUGACGCUGAGGAGCGAAAGCCAGGGGAGCAAACGGG